This is a non-coding RNA of Phrynosoma platyrhinos (Desert horned lizard), 72 nucleotides long. The record is from the annotation of a GenBank genome assembly. NCBI's taxonomy places the organism in Eukaryota, Metazoa, Chordata, Lepidosauria, Squamata, Phrynosomatidae.
AUGCAUGUGGUGUAGUGGUUUGAGUGCUGGACUAUGACUCUGAAGACCAGGGUUCGAUUCCCAGCUUGGCUA